AACGAACGCUGGCGGCAGGUCUUAGGCAUGCAAGUCGAACGGGUGUAGCAAUACAUCAGUGGCGCACGAGUGAGUAACGCGUGGGAAUUUGCCCAUCGGUGGGGAAUAACGUUUGGAAACGAACGCUAAUACCGCAUACGUCGAGAAAUCGAGAAAGAUUUAUCGCCGAUGGAUAAGCCCGCGUUGGAUUAGCUUGUUGGUAGGGUAAUGGCCUACCAAGGCGAUGAUCCAUAGCUGGUCUGAGAGGACGAUCAGCCACGCUGGGCCUGAGAAACGGCCCGGACUCCUACGGGGGGCAGAAGCUAGGAAUAUUGGACAAGGGAGGGGACUCUGUUCCAGCCAUGCCGCGUGAGUGAAGAAGGCCUUCGGGUUGUAAGGCUCUCUUACUCGUGAGGAUGAUGACGGUAGCGACAGAAAAAGCACCGGCUACCUUCGUGCCAGCCGCCGCCGUAA
Molecule: ribosomal RNA, 453 nt
Filed under: uncultured bacterium
Lineage: Bacteria
Description: partial 16S ribosomal RNA
Rfam family: Bacterial small subunit ribosomal RNA
Source: RNAcentral